GGUAUAAUGGCCGAGCGGCCAGGCGGCGGGCUGUAGACUCGCUUAGGGGGUUAAACUCCUCUUUUAUCA
RNAcentral lists this transfer RNA (69 nucleotides) under Enyalioides praestabilis. RNAcentral's name for it is "tRNA-Tyr". It matches the Rfam family "tRNA". From Rfam's summary of the family: Transfer RNA (tRNA) molecules are approximately 80 nucleotides in length. Their secondary structure includes four short double-helical elements and three loops (D, anti-codon, and T loops). Further hydrogen bonds mediate the characteristic L-shaped molecular structure. tRNAs have two regions of fundamental functional importance: the anti-codon, which is responsible for specific mRNA codon recognition, and the 3' end, to which the tRNAs corresponding amino acid is attached (by aminoacyl-tRNA synthetases). tRNAs cope with the degeneracy of the genetic code in two manners: having more than one tRNA (with a specific anti-codon) for a particular amino acid; and 'wobble' base-pairing, i.e. permitting non-standard base-pairing at the 3rd anti-codon position. The record is from RNAcentral. Lineage: Eukaryota; Metazoa; Chordata; Lepidosauria; Squamata; Hoplocercidae.